Molecule: ribosomal RNA, 314 nt
Filed under: uncultured bacterium
Lineage: Bacteria
Description: bacterial SSU rRNA
Rfam family: Bacterial small subunit ribosomal RNA
Source: RNAcentral
GAUGAACGCUAGCUACAGGCUUAACACAUGCAAGUCGAGGGGCAGCAUGGAGUUUGCUUGCAAACUCUGAUGGCGACCGGCGCACGGGUGAGUAACGCGUAUCCAACCUGCCCAUUACUCGGGCAUAGCCCAGUGAAAACUGGAUUAACUCCCGAUGUUGUUCUGAUGCGGCAUCUUAUCAGGACAAAAGUUUUACGGUAAUGGACGGGGAUGCGUCUGAUUAGGUAGUAGGCGGGGUAACGGCCCACCUAGCCGACGAUCAGUAGGGGUUCUGAGAGGAAGGUCCCCCACACUGGAACUGAGACACGGUCCAG